RNAcentral lists this small RNA (27 nucleotides) under Bombyx mori (domestic silkworm). RNAcentral's name for it is "ovarian small RNA-8811". Lineage: Eukaryota; Metazoa; Arthropoda; Insecta; Lepidoptera; Bombycidae. The record is from RNAcentral.
UGGGUUCGUCGGGGCCGACCACAGAGU